UACGGAGGGUGCAAGCGUUAUCCGGAUUUAUUGGGUUUAAAGGGUCCGUAGGCGGAUCUGUAAGUCAGUGGUGAAAUCUCACAGCUUAACUGUGAAACUGCCAUUGAUACUGCAGGUCUUGAGUGUUAUUGAAGUAGCUGGAAUAAGUAGUGUAGCGGUGAAAUGCAUAGAUAUUACUUAGAACACCAAUUGCGAAGACAGGUUACUAAGCAACAACUGACGCUGAUGGACGAAAGCGUGGGGAGCGAACAGG
Molecule: ribosomal RNA, 253 nt
Filed under: uncultured bacterium
Lineage: Bacteria
Description: partial 16S ribosomal RNA
Rfam family: Bacterial small subunit ribosomal RNA
Source: RNAcentral